CCUUUGUUUUGAGUGUUCGAUUUUGUUCCUGGACAAAAUGUCCCUUUAAAACAGCUACCAACAUUUCAUAAUUCAUUGUUUGCCAUGAAAUCAGCGGGUUUGUAAUUUUGUUUCCUAGAUACCUUGAGAGCAGCCCAGGAGUGUCCUUGAUAAAGGAAAUGACUCUUCUAUUCACUGAAUGCUUAUUGUGAAUAGAGAAUCAAGACUGUUUCCAUCAUCAAUGUGUCCUGGGUUUAUCUGGUGUUCCAGCAAUUUCACUGAAUAGUGAGUCAUUAUUUAUUAAUAAUCUGCUGUGUAUCUGGAACUCACUACAUCAUCUCUUUCCCAUCAUAAGAAAAAGUGAAAGACUCAGUAUGUUCAGAAGGUCAGUACAAAACUCAACAGAAGAGGUAAGGAGAUGAGGAUGGGAUUCCACUAUUUUUAAUCUGAAGUUAGCUGUUGGUACACUUCCCUAAUUCUACAACUUUGCUCAGGGCAUUUCUUGAAUUACAGUCUCGGGGAAGGCUACUGCGUCUUACUGCAAGUAUAUAAAUCUCUGCUCCGGUUUAAUCUUGGGGAUCUCACAGCCUUUCUUUGGGAAGUCUGCUGUUUCAUAAAUAGGGA
This 603-nucleotide long non-coding RNA is filed under the name Oryctolagus cuniculus (rabbit). Its description in RNAcentral is "lncRNA (ENSOCUG00000032028.1)". The record is from RNAcentral. Lineage: Eukaryota; Metazoa; Chordata; Mammalia; Lagomorpha; Leporidae.